RNAcentral lists this ribosomal RNA (496 nucleotides) under uncultured bacterium. Its description in RNAcentral is "partial 16S ribosomal RNA". It matches the Rfam family "Bacterial small subunit ribosomal RNA", at positions 28 to 506 of the family's 1533-position model. The record is from RNAcentral.
GAUGAACGCUGGCGGCGUGCCUAAUACAUGCAAGUCGAGCGAACAGACGAGGAGCUUGCUCCUCUGACGUUAGCGGCGGACGGGUGAGUAACACGUGGAUAACCUACCUAUAAGACUGGGAUAACUUCGGGAAACCGGAGCUAAUACCGGAUAAUAUAUUGAACCGCAUGGUUCAAUAGUGAAAGACGGUUUUGCUGUCACUUAUAGAUGGAUCCGCGCCGCAUUAGCUAGUUGGUAAGGUAACGGCUUACCAAGGCAACGAUGCGUAGCCGACCUGAGAGGGUGAUCGGCCACACUGGAACUGAGACACGGUCCAGACUCCUACGGGAGGCAGCAGUAGGGAAUCUGCCGCAAUGGGCGAAAGCCUGACGGGGCAACGCCGCGUGAGUGAUGAAGGUCUUCGGAUCGUAAAACUCUGUUAUUAGGGAAGAACAAAUGUGUAAGUAACUAUGCACGUCUUGACGGGACCUAAUCAGAAAGCCACGGCUAACUACGU